This 69-nucleotide transfer RNA is filed under the name Rattus norvegicus (Norway rat). It matches the Rfam family "tRNA". From Rfam's summary of the family: Transfer RNA (tRNA) molecules are approximately 80 nucleotides in length. Their secondary structure includes four short double-helical elements and three loops (D, anti-codon, and T loops). Lineage: Eukaryota; Metazoa; Chordata; Mammalia; Rodentia; Muridae. The record is from Rfam by way of RNAcentral.
GGGGAUUUAGCUCAAUGGUAGAGCGUUUGCCUAGCAAGUGCAAGGCCCUGGGUUCGGUCCCCAGCUCCA